Molecule: ribosomal RNA, 962 nt
Filed under: Metschnikowia reukaufii
Lineage: Eukaryota; Fungi; Ascomycota; Pichiomycetes; Serinales; Metschnikowiaceae
Description: partial 26S ribosomal RNA
Rfam family: Eukaryotic large subunit ribosomal RNA (bases 153-962)
Source: RNAcentral
AAAAAAAAAACGCCCCCCCCCAAAAAAAAAAGGGCGCGUUGGAAAAAAAAAAAUUCCCCCCCCCCAAAAAAAAAAGGGGGCCUGUUUUAAAAAAAAAAGAGUUUCCCCCCGGAAAAAAAAAAACGGGGGGGUCUUGUUUUAAAAAAAGGGAAAAAUUUUUUCUUGUUUUUGGGGCCCCGGGGGGGGGGGUUUCUUAUGGGGGGGAAAAGAAACCACAGGGGAUGCCUUCAGAAAGGGGGAUUGAAGGGGCAAAGGUUAAAAUUUGAAUUCUUUCGGGGGGGGGUUUUAGAGGGCGGGUUCGGUUAGGAAAAGUAAUUUAAGUCCAUUGGAAAAUGGCGCCAUGGAGGGUGAUAGCCCCGUAAAAGUAUCCCUUUUCCUUUUAUCCUUUCCCUCCAAAGAGUCGAGUUGUUUGGGAAUGCAGCUCUAAGUGGGUGGUAAAUUCCAUCUAAAGCUAAAUAUUGGCGAGAGACCGAUAGCGAACAAGUACAGUGAUGGAAAGAUGAAAAGCACUUUGAAAAGAGAGUGAAAAAGUACGUGAAAUUGUUGAAAGGGAAGGGCUUGCAAGCAGACACAACCUCGGUUGGGCCAGCAUCGGAGUGGGGGGAGACAAAAAAGAAAAGGAAUGUAACUCAUUCAAUUUUAAAACCCUUUUCCCAAAUCUUCCACCCCUUCCCAAGCCCGGCAUUUUUCCAGGGUGCCUGCCUUACCGUUGCGAGUCUCCCGUCUUGGACAAAGAAAAUUUUGGGGGGGGUUAAAAAAACCGGGGGAAAAAUUUUUCUCCCCUAUUAACCAGAGACGCCCCCGCUUUUUUUUUUAACGGGGGGAAACUUUUCUCUCUUUUUUUAAAAAAAAAGACAACGUUUUUUUGGAAAGAGGGGAAUCUUUUUUUUUUAUAAAAAGGCAGAACUUUUUUUCUAAGAAGAAGAAUACUUGUUCUUGUAAAAAAGUAACCGAAGCCUAAA